Molecule: RNA transcript, 1207 nt
Organism: Antechinus flavipes (yellow-footed antechinus)
Lineage: Eukaryota; Metazoa; Chordata; Mammalia; Dasyuromorphia; Dasyuridae
Exons: 9
Source: RefSeq, a predicted model, not a curated record
GGAGAAGAAAGGGAUGCCGGGGAAAAAAAGAAGGAAAAAAAAAAAAGAUGACUUCGGAUUUGACUUCUAGAAUUCAAAGGGGUUGUCUCCUAGCAACGCGCCGCCGAGCUCCCUCCGCCUGCGUGGUUCCCGGGGCAACCUCCCCGUGCCACUCUUCCCCUCCCCCUUCCAUCCUCCCUUCCCUCUGCGACCGGUAACCAUAGCAACAGCAACGGCGGGACUACUAGAAAGACCUCCCCGUCUCUCCCCUCCCGGGCCAUAGGCAAUUUCUAUCCAACAUCAGGGGAUGGCGUCCAGUCCUUCAGGGCCUCAGGAGAAAAAGGGCACUCUAAAUUCACAUAAUUCCCCUACACCAGCGGUGUUAACCAGAUCUGAGGAGUAUUUGGUCCGUAUCAGCACAGAACUUACCAACGAGGCCCUGAUGGGAGCCCAAUAUCCAAUAGGGCCUGACCUGCCCAAGGAAUUGAAAAAACUGGACCAGGGAACUCAGAUGUCCCGACACGAGAGAGGCACUCUUUCUAACUAGGGCCUAUGUUUUCAGUGCCGCCAACCACUCGGACCAAGGGCACAGAUACUCGUUCUGACAGAAACAGGACCAGAAACAAGACUCAUCUCCUGCCAUCCAGAGAGAUGGUUGAAGAUUUUAAAGAUGAGAAAGUUAAAUUGCUGAAGUCGAAAGAGAAAGACCUAUCCCAACAUAAGCAGGUAGAGACUGUACGACAAGAGGACACUCUGGGUGGAAGCAUGUAUUUGAUUCCCCGAUGGAAUACUCGGAGGUCGACUACAAUCCCAGAAGGCCUCUCUUCCUAUCCCUUGAGGAAAGAACAAGGAAGUAUCAAGAGAGAAGAACUAGACUCAAUGGAAGGAAGUGACAGGGAAGGAGAUUUCCAUUUAGGAAAGAUAUUCCAUCAGAACUGCUCACCAGCUGCCUCAAAAAGCUCUGGGUUACUAGAAGUGUUGAAGCAAAGACUUGAUGACCAUCUCUCUAAGAGGUUGUAGAAUGUGGCUUGAGAUCCCACUCUUCAAAAUUCAUCUGAAAAAAUCCUAGGGGUGGACUCCUGGCUAUGAGUGUCAUCAUCCGCAAGACCCAAAGACUCUCCCAAAGACAUUCUUCUUCACUCCCUACAGCCCGGCCAUGACACCAUCAGGAGCCAGAGACUAAUAAAGAGACGGGGACCCCCGCCUUCCCCUCCCCCAAUUCAGGCAA